UGUAGGAUUUUGAGUUAUGUUAUGUUCUCUGGCAUUUGAUUCAAGUGACCUCAGCAGCCAAGCAGGGUGAAGUUGGAGCAAAAAUUAUCCAAAGUUAUCCAAAACAGCUCCACCAAUACUCACUGAUGUAAAGUCAAAUACUGAAAGUUCAGGCCAACAGGAUCCUGUUUCACUGUUUGCAGAGGUGAAGGGGAAGGCCAAAGUCCUCCUUCUGUAGCUGGGAUAGAGGGCUUACCUUGGGAAGGGGAUCUCCACACCAUAGCAACACAGGAAACUCGUGCUAUUUUGAAAAUGAAAAUUGUCUCAAAUUCAUCAUUAUAAUUUACCUGCUGCAUGUACAACUUUAAUAUUUAAUAUUUCUAAGCUCACUGGUGACUGUAAUACACUGAAAAAUGUUUAGACAAAACUCUCCUGCAAGAAAAGGAGAUACCAUCCACUUUCUACACUGCACUGAAAGCACAGAUAUAGGAAUUGUUCAGUGAAGCUGGUGGUCAUAAACGAGAACAACUGUAACAACACCAACAAAGACACAGACUGCUGUCUCUUGUGUGCUGUAUGGCUGUGCUAGCAGCCACAAGUCUGAAAUGUACCUCAGCAUCUCCAGUGUUUUCAAGCAGCCUUAUUGGCCUGAUAAGGAGGAAUGUCAGGAUUUCUCUCUGGGAGGUCCCGGCGCUGGGGGGAGAAGAUGGCACCCGUGGGGCCUUUCGGGAGCCCGGUUGCAGCGAGAGGAUUUCGUGGUGCGGCUGUGGAUACAGGACGGAUCGUGUGGUUACGGCAGCGGAGGAGGAGCCAGAGCCGGCACCGGGCUGCUGCUGUGCCGGGCGUGGUUGAGCACAUCGCCGUCUCGGCGUGUUGGAGGGGCUGUGCGGGCACAUGGGCUCGCUCUGAUUCCUGCUGUUCCACAGCUUUGCCACAAUGAAGGAAGUUCCAGCGAAUGAAGAUUCUGAACCAUCAGUAUGUGAGAGAAAUGGCAUGAUUCCCAUGCGUGAGAAAAGUGAGGAGGGGUCGACAGUAGAUGCCAAAGGUACUGAUGGGAAUAUACAAACAGAAGAAACUGCUCUCUUGAAUCACUCAGCUCAGCAGCCUCCAGAGCCGAUAUCAGAGUCUUCAACACCUGCAGGAACACGGAGGCAAAUAUUUGCUUGUCCUCCUCAGGGUUUACUGUCUCAAAUAGUAACAAAUGUUGCAGCUGUGGUCCUGAUAUGGGCUGUGGUUUGGUCCAUCACUGGGCCUGAAUGUCUCCCAGGUGGAAACCUGUUUGGAAUUUUAUGUCUUUAUUUUUUUGCUGUCAUUGGAGGUAAAAUUUUUGGACUGAUUAAAAUAGGAACACUGCCGCCCCUCCCUGCUCUUCUGGGGAUGCUACUUGCUGGUUUUCUCAUCCGAAAUACCCCAUUUGUUAGUGACAUCAUCCAGAUAAAUCCACGCUGGUCUGCAGCACUGAGGAAUAUUGCUCUUUCAAUUAUCCUGACCCGGGCAGGACUUGGUCUGGACCCAAAGGCUCUUAAGAAGCUCAAAGCAGUCUGCUUACGGCUUUCUUUUGGACCAUGCCUCUCAGAAACAUGCACAGCUGCUGUUUUUGCCGUUUUGCUCAUGCGUUUGCCAUGGCAGUGGGGAUUUAUAUUAGGUUUUGUUCUAGGUGCAGUAUCUCCUGCUGUUGUGGUUCCCUCCAUGCUGAUCUUACAAGCUGGGGGAUAUGGUGUAGAGAAAGGUGUCCCAACUUUGCUGAUGGCAGCUGGAAGCAUUGACGACAUUCUGGCUAUUACAGGCUUCAACACUUGCCUUGGGAUGGCUUUCUCUUCUGGUUCCACUCUGUACAAUGUGCUCCAAGGAGUGCUGGAGGUUGCUGUUGGCAUAGCAGCUGGUGGGAUUCUGGGGAUGUUUGUUCGGUAUUUCCCAAGCCACGAUCAGGCAUCUCUUCCAUGGAAGAGAUCGUAUUUUGUACUUGGGCUGUCCAUGUUUGCUGUUUUUGGCAGCGUCUACUUCGGCUUCCCUGGAUCAGGAGGGCUCUGCACAUUAGUCUUAGCUUUUAUUGCUGGCGUGGGAUGGUCUGAUGAAAAGAGGGAAGUAGAAAAAAUUGUUGCUGUUGCUUGGAAUAUCUUUCAGCCUUUUCUUUUUGGUUUGAUUGGAGCAGAAGUAUCUGUUACAUCUCUCAGGCCUGAAACUGUUGGGCUCUGUGUUGCUACACUAGGUAUUGCCCUAGUUGUGCGAAUCAUUGCAACCUUCCUGAUGGUGUGUUUUGCUGGCUUUAAUUUCAAGGAGAAAGUAUUUGUCUCAUUGGCGUGGAUUCCCAAAGCCACUGUCCAGGCUGCAAUAGGUUCCCUUGCCUUGGAUACAGCAAGAAGUCAUCAGAACCAGCAGCUGGAAAAGUAUGGAAUGGAUGUACUAACAGUAGCUUUCUUGGCUAUCUUGAUCACUGCUCCCAUUGGAGCCUUGGUUAUUGGCUUGGCAGGGCCCAGACUUUUGCAGAAGGCUCAGACAAAACACGAGGAAAAUGAGGAAGGAGCUGAGGCUGGAGAAGAGCCAGAGGACUGUGAGCCUUCGUAAGACAGGCACAUACAGGAAUGUGGUCCUUCAGCCCUUAAACUUCUGUUAAGUAAACAUUUUGUGUCUGUAAUCUUUCUGGACAAAGCCAAAACUAGUAUUGGAUAUACUGCUAUUUUAAAAGCAGAUCCGGUGGAGUUUUACAAAAUAUUUUUAUGUGUUGAUGGUGCCUUAAGAGAUGAACUAGGUAAACAUGCAGCAAAUAGGCUGACUGGGCAGUGAGUCACUCUGAAGUUAGCAGUCAUCAGUUACUAAGAGCACGUGGGUGUGAGGCCAGGGAGAGGAUCAGAAUUGUUCAGGCAUCCAGUGGGUGAUGAGGUGGACUUACAGAAGAAAAUGGAGACUGAUGUGAUGCUUCUUGAUGGUUAAAACUGGGCUGUAAAAUGACAAGUUCAACAGCUCAAAGAAUGCAACUACUGAAUUAGGACUAUUGGCGUACAGCAAACAAAUCCUGCCACAGUCUGAUGGUUCCCUUCCUCACUCGGCUUUGAAAACCUGCCUUUUUCCACUGCUGUUCUUUCAGAUCUCACACAUACUUUGUACCUUCAAGGGACUGUCAGCUCUGGUCAUGGCAAGAAGCAGCAAGCAGUACUUACGUGCUGAAAGAGAUGGACCCAUCUGGGCUGUGGUAACAAAGGAGUACCCAAUAAAAAGGACCAGGUUUGAAAAAAGGAUGAAGGAGCCUGUAAGGACUGAGAGAACGUUAUAUAGGAUUGGGAUGGCUGCUUCUUGGCAUGUGUACUUUGGCCUUCAUGCAACUCAAUGUCAAGCAAGGGAAAGCCAGCUUGUCAGCUGCUGGGGGUGUGUGCUCUAGGACAGGGGAGCUCCCCUCUGAUGGGACUUGCUGGUGUGGCAAUGCCAAGGUAGCAACCAGUUGUUCCUUUCUUCCUCAGCUCCUUUUGGGAAACCUGACAGUAGUGACAGACCUCAAAUCAGGAUUUAUGGGUCAACAGGGAACACACAGUCUUCAGUCAGUGCUUGUUCCCUGACAAGAGAAGAAGGUGCUCUCAAACCGUACAGACUGGUGAACAGUUCCAGUGCUGCAGAAAUGGUUACUGUUGGACUUCUGUGUCCCUGCUGCCUACUGGGCAUGGCUUAUUGAGGUACAGACACCUGGCUUCCGUGGACUCCUGAAAUCAGAGAGGAUGAUAGAGGCUCCAGUAUCCUCCUUCAAUUUGGGAUGCAUUUUGCUGCCCUUCUCAGACUGAUGUGACGUGAAUCCAUUACACAGCUAUUUCUACCUGGCAGGUAGGUGAAACCGAACACUUACUUUGAUAAGAAAAGCAGAACAGUUCUUUGUUUGAAAUUUCUACAUCCAAAACACUACAGCCGGUGUUAAGCUUUUGCUUACUUCAGUUUUGCAGCUGUACUUCUGCAAGCAGCACUUGAAGAAAAUGAAGGGAUUUUUUAAUGCCAAGAGUAUGAAAACUACCUUACAAUAAUGCACAAUCCCCUUGUUAGGGCUCUUUGCUGCUCCAAAACCACCACGAAGAUGGGGAUUCACCUUGACUUUAACUGAGCCCACGUGAGGCAGUUUUCCCUUCACAGAUUUGCUUUGAAAUGCAAGGAAAUAGUAAAAAGAAGACAGACAUCUAUCUUGCUUACAGUCCUGUAGAAAUUACUGAGAUGUCCCUUCUAAAAGGAACUGUGAGCCCUAUUGUUCCCACACUAUACUUUAGAUACAUUCCAAUUCCAUUGAGACAUAAGCAAAACCAAACCAAAAACCAUGCGUUUUUGUAGCCACAAUUGCAGGCAGUUUAGCAGUAGUUUCAUCAAACAGAAAGCAGGGGGGGAAAUAAUUACAUAGUCAGAUUGUGUAAAAGGUGGAGUCAAGAAGCUAAACAUUACAUUGCCAUUCUUUUUAAAGGAGAUUUGUGGGAGAAAAAUCACUUCUGCUGUACCACUUACCUUAACAGCAUUUGUCAAAGUGGAACAAGAGAAAAGAUGAUUGAUGUACACAGAAAGAAAUGAAAUUAUUUGAAUGUGAGAAUGUCCUGAUAGAAGCUGGAAGUACAUAAAGAUUUGUAUAUAAUAAUUGACUACUGUAAUGGGCCAUGAAUUUGGUUUUAUUUCACCUAGCACUUUUUCCAUGGAACCCCAGAAUUAAACUUAACAUUCAGUGUAUUGCAUCUAAGAGUGAAAACAGAGCACAGUACAAGACAUUUGCAUUACUGUUCUUUCUUUGUAAGUGUUAGAUCCUAAUACAAUAGUGUUUACAGGCUGCUUUCAUUCAUUAGGAUAGGGUUCCCAUGAAACAUUUAAAUAAAGAUAGACUGUACUGUGCUUUCAGUACACUUUGUAAAAGCAGUAAUUUAACCCACAGUCACAUCCUAAUCUGCCACUGUUUGUUGUGUUAAGAGCUUUAAGCACCUACAACCACACCUGUUAAAAACAGGUACUGUCUAUUAGUUCCACUGCUGCUUUGACAUCCAUUAUGUGAGAACUGCUUCCUGACUCACUUUCUGUUUCAGCACUGGGAUGAUAAAUUGUGGAAAACAGUGUGCUGCUCUGGGGCUUCCCCCUCCUUAAGAACAGCUCAAAUGAAAUGCUUGUUAAAGAAUAGUCAACAUCUUCCCUUCAGACAAUUGUCUAAAAUUGGGGCAUGGAUCUAAAGUUCUACUUUUAAACAAACAGUCUUUCAUUAAAGAAUAAAGCACUUUAGAGGAAUUAAUGUGGAGUCUAACAGCUGAAUAAGUAGCAAUUACUUACCUAUACCUGAAGUUAAGCCGUACCACAGCAAAGUUCUGACUUGCCCUCAUAAUCAUUCUGAGUCAGUAACAAGCCAAGAACACAGUUCUACUUCACUUUUUAGGUUGUGUCAUUUAGCCAACCCCUCUUAUGAAUGUCCCUGCUAAAAGAAAUAACAUCUGCAGUGCAAGUGAACUUUCAAAAGCAAAUUUGUUUCCUUACACACACAUGAAUGAUGAACGGGGGCCCAGAAUAAAUGGCCAACAUUCCUUGUUGACCUGCUUACCUAGAAAUAGUGACAUUUCUGUUACUGCAUGCUCACAAAAAGGGCUUCACUGUAGGAAGUCAUUUUAUUGUUGAAAUAAAUGACUUAUUUACAGAAAUAGUUACUUUACAGUUUUACAAAGCAGUCAUAAUAAUUCUUAUAAAGUAUCAAAACAGUGACAGAUCUAGCACUGUCUAAAUGGAGUUUAUCCAAAAAAUAAAAAUCUACAGCAAUCAUUGGACUAAAUCAUACCAAUCAUAGAAUAAUAAAACGCUGCUCCUUGCAACUACCAUGAUAUAAAAGACUCAUCCAUCAUGAUCAAGUGGAUUAAGUAUUUGCUAUACUUCUUUCUUCUUGAGUAUUAGUGGUCCUACGUUAUCUCCCGUUAAUUCAUUGUGCUUGUUAUGAGAGCCAUCGCAGACAGGGAACUAGAAGAAAACAAAUGUGAGAGAUUAGUACACCUCUGUACAGCAAUUCCACAGUGAUUUUCAGUUCUUCCUUUGCUGAGAAUAAUUAUCAAAGCUGAUAGCUCCUCCCACUAUGCCCCAUUCCAACAAACUCCCUUCCCCAUCAGACCUGUGACAUUACUAGCCUAAAAGAAAAAAGAAGCCUCCCCCCCCCCCCCAAUUCCUAA
Coturnix japonica (Japanese quail) is the source of this 6128-nucleotide non-coding RNA. Lineage: Eukaryota; Metazoa; Chordata; Aves; Galliformes; Phasianidae. The record is from RefSeq and is a predicted model, not a curated record.